GCUGCCUGUAGUCUAGUGGCUAAGGUGUAUGACUGAGAGUCCUGAGGUUGGUGGUUCAAGCCCCAGUCCAGCAACA
This 76-nucleotide transfer RNA is filed under the name Albula goreensis. RNAcentral describes it as "tRNA-OTHER". Lineage: Eukaryota; Metazoa; Chordata; Actinopteri; Albuliformes; Albulidae. The record is from RNAcentral.